AGAGUCUGGCAGAGGUCUGGCAGAGCCAGGGUGGCCAAGGUGUCUGCUGAGCCUGGGGUGCUCCUUGCCCCGGGAGAGACCUGUACCUCUAGAAUUUUUGCUGUUCGGUGUUGUGGCGGACUGUUGCAUACACCUACUCCUUUCGUACUAAGUAUCCUGAGCAUGAAGACCCAGGGGAUAUCUGGCAACGUUUAUUCCCAGCUAUUUGGGACUGCAGGGAAUUUGGAAGGAGGAAAAAAAAAAGGCACAACUGAUGAAGGACCUAUUGUGCUGCAGGCACAGACCUGGACUAGAUGGACCUUUUGGGCCUAGAAGAGCAUUCAUGUGUCCUUUUAAAAACUGUAUUGAUUUU
This is a long non-coding RNA of Nothoprocta perdicaria, 352 nucleotides long. RefSeq lists it as uncharacterized. NCBI's taxonomy places the organism in Eukaryota, Metazoa, Chordata, Aves, Tinamiformes, Tinamidae. The record is from RefSeq and is a predicted model, not a curated record. The transcript has 3 exons.